Molecule: long non-coding RNA, 1045 nt
Organism: Oncorhynchus keta (chum salmon)
Lineage: Eukaryota; Metazoa; Chordata; Actinopteri; Salmoniformes; Salmonidae
Exons: 4
Source: RefSeq, a predicted model, not a curated record
CAAUUCUUGGCCGGUGGAGGCAUCACCUCGUUCGGCUUGCGCUUUAUACUUUCGACGAGGUGCAUAACUCCAGCCCAGAAACAAUACCUGAAUACAUAGCCUACGUUUAUUGCUCUUUAGUCGCUUUCAUUAUAGCCUAGAGGUAGGCUAAAUCAAGUUAGUAGGCUAUACCGGUGAUUGAUUUUUUAAAGUAUGAAUUUAGCUCAGGAAAACGAAGAUUCCAAAUAGAUUAGUUGUGGUUCCAUUUCAUGUGAAGAUCAUGUUGUCAGUUUAGGUCAAUUUACUUCAUAGCCAUUAUAUCUGGUUUCGUUUGUUUAUAAAUCCGGGUGCAGUUAUAUCUGUUGAAGUGUUGAUCGUGGUUUGGCCAAAAUAGCAUACAGUUAGUUUCCUCACUGGUUGUGCUUAAUGAUAUACUUACACAGACUAUGCUGAGACGGAAAGAGAGUCCACAGCCACCCGUACCUGAAUGGUGGGCAAUCGGACUCGAUGUAGUGAUUAUAUUUCAGGGCUGUCCAUUUCCGUGACUCGCUGCUGUUUUGUGAACGAUUCACAGCAAGGACAGCGACUAAUAAACCGGACAUUGCCACUUUAAAAACUGCCCCGGGCCAUUUGAAAAGCGCAGAGACAGAUGCUGAGUCGAGGCAAGAAGAAAAGAAAACAAAUGAAUUUCGAGGGCAAAAUCGACAGAUAUAUAACGCGCAUAAACUGAAAUAUGUCUGUCCUCUGAGCGUGAGGGCACAUCAGCGUCCUGACUCGCCUAAACAGUUUGUUGGUUGAAAACACACAAUACUCCAUGCAGCUCCGGGAAUGUUCCUGUCUGCAGCCGGCCCUCUCCUCCCCGGCUUCCCAAACUUUGAUCAGCGAGGCCUGGCCGCGGAGCCGCUUGAGCCGUGCAGCAUGGUUUGCUGGCAGAGGAGGAUGGGUAUAAAUGGAGACUGUCACAGGAGAGGAGGGUAAAAACCAGGGUCAUGUUCAGGAGGCAGACAACGUUUUGAAACAGAGUGAAACAGCUAAGGUGUGCCCUCCUUUAACAGGCCCCUACCCC